RNAcentral lists this ribosomal RNA (446 nucleotides) under Cytisus scoparius. RNAcentral describes it as "eukaryotic LSU rRNA". The stretch from base 306 to 446 matches the Rfam family "Eukaryotic large subunit ribosomal RNA", at positions 1 to 141 of the family's 3401-position model. Lineage: Eukaryota; Viridiplantae; Streptophyta; Magnoliopsida; Fabales; Fabaceae. The record is from RNAcentral.
UGCAGAAUCCCGUGAACCAUCGAGUCUUUGAACGCAAGUUGCGCCCGAAGCCAUUAGGCUGAGGGCACGCCUGCCUGGGUGUUGCACAUCGUUGCCCCAAUGCCUUGGCCAUGUGCUAGGCACCGAGUGGGGCGAAUGUUGGCUUCCCGCGAGCAGUGUCUCACGGUUGGUUGAAAACUGAGUCCGUGGUGGAGGGCGCCGUGAUGGAUGGUGGCUGAGUUAAAGCUCGAGACCGAUCGUGCGUGUCACCCCCACCAGAUUUGCGACUCUGUGACCCAUGGGGGUCUGUUGGCCGCCUAAGACGGGAACCUCAGGUCAGGCGGGGCUACCCGCUGAGUUUAAGCAUAUCAAUAAGCGGAGGAAAAGAAACUAACAAGGAUUCCCCUAGUAACGGCGAGCGAACCGGGAAGAGCCCACCAUGAGAAUCGGUCACCCUCGGUGUCCGA